This is a non-coding RNA of Peromyscus maniculatus bairdii (prairie deer mouse), 973 nucleotides long. The record is from RefSeq and is a predicted model, not a curated record. Lineage: Eukaryota; Metazoa; Chordata; Mammalia; Rodentia; Cricetidae.
GUGCCAGGGCACACGAGUGGAGGUCAGAAGACGACUUGUAUUAGUGGGUUCCCUCUCCUUCCACCAGAGCUCGAACUCAGGCCGUCAGGUUUGGCACCAAACCCAUUUCCCUGCUGGGCCAUCUCAGCAGCUGCUUGAAGUAUUUGUUUAAAAUAACAGCAACAACGAGGAAACUCAUACACGAAUACUCCUUUCAGAGCACGGAGAGACAGCUCAGCAGCCAAGAGCACUUGCUGCUCUUACAGAGGAUCCGGAAGUAUGAUUCAUAUGUGUAAUGUGCCAUAUAUGCACGGUCCAAGAGGAGAACUCUGAGCUUGAGAGAAUCCAGAGGAAGAGCUGAAGUGAAAGUGAACCGUGCCCAUGUGCCAGCCAUACUGCUCCGUGACAACCACCGUCUCCCGGAGUCCUCAAGACAACAACAGGCAUUCUUGAUUGUGCCCCGUCACCAGUUUAUCAGAUUCGGUAACUCUGUCUCUGUCGGUGGGAGAUCCAGGAGGUGAGUCCUUGCCCGUACAAUGUCAAGUCACAGGAGCUUUACCUUGAGCCUCAUGGAGUUGAGAAGUGAAGAAAUGCAGAAAGCUGCUGCCGAGAUGGUGUUGGAUUUGUGGAGAAAGCCUGAGCCUACCCUGAGGCUGCACCCGGCAAUGUCCUUCAAUGCGUUUGCCAUUGAGCUUCCCGCUAGCAAUCCUGAAAGACCAAAGAAAGCAGAGAGCUGAUUGCAGCCAGCCUACAACGUGGAAUUCGAAUGGGUGAUUCCUUCUUCCAUGCCCAGGCCAAGACAGCACAGCUGAUAAGUAGGACCUGGUGUGUGAGUGUUAGGGAAGGUGCUACUGUCCAUGCAGAUAACAUGAGCUAAUCCUCACGUUUGACAAGAGAAACAAGGGAAGAAACAGCCUGGACCCUCCCAUAGGCCGAGAUCAUCAACCAGACAGCUACAGACCAAGCGUGCUGAGGGCAGCUGCACCUCCCUAGA